CCUACGGGUGGCAGCAGUGAGGAAUAUUGGUCAAUGGGCGCGAGCCUGAACCAGCCAAGUAGCGUGAAUGAUGACUGCCCUACGGGUUGUAAACUUCUUUUUUAAAGGAAUAAAGUGAGGCACGUGUGUCUUCUUGUAUGUACUUUAUGAAUACGGAUCGGCUAACUCCGCGCCAGCAGCCGCGGUAAGACGGAGGUUACGAGCGUUAUCCGGAUUUAUUGGGUUUAAAGGGAGCGGAGGUGGGUUGUUAAGUCAGUUGUGAAAUUUUGCGGCUCAACCGUAAAAUUGCAAUUGAUACUGGCAGUCUUGAGUACAGUUGAGGUAGGCGGAAUUCGUGGUGUAGCGGUGAAAUGCUUAGAUAUCACGAAGAACUCCGAUUGCGAAGGCAGCUUACUAAACUGCCACUGACAUUGAUGCUCGAAAGUGUGGGUAUCAAACAGGAUUAGAUACCCGAGUAGUC
RNAcentral lists this ribosomal RNA (460 nucleotides) under uncultured bacterium. RNAcentral describes it as "partial 16S ribosomal RNA". It matches the Rfam family "Bacterial small subunit ribosomal RNA", at positions 338 to 795 of the family's 1533-position model. The record is from RNAcentral.